UCUGAAUGAAUUGCAACCGCGAAAGGUUGCUGGCUUAUAGUAAAUUUGCGUUUGGUUUUAAAGUGUUUUAAAAUGAUAUAAAAAGUGUUAAAUUAGUAAUUAAAAAGUGAUCGCAGGACUGUGAUUUGUAAUUUGUUUAAGAUUAAUUGUGUUAAUAGUGAAUUUAGUGGAUUGCUGUGCGAAAAUGAAGGGGGUGCUCCGCUGGACAAGUGAAUGUAUAUAUGGAUGUAUGGAUGUGUAAGCGACGCCUUACAAAUGUGUAUGUAUGUAUGUUAAUGCAUGUGCAUGUGAAUUUGGCUGGCCCUAUUCAUAUGCAUACAUACAUAUAUAUAUACAUAUAUAUGUACAUACAUGGGAAUUCGCAAUCGUUACGUUUUGUAACAAAAAUCAAGGUAAAGAAGCCCAAUUUUAACUACUCCCAAUUAGAAUAUUGAAUAAUGAUGAAAAUUUAAGUAUGUAAGUGGCGAAAAAAUGGAUUUUUCUAUUUCUUUUGUGAGGUUUCCUUAGCCUUUUGCUUGGCUUGCCGAACGGCUAACAGUUAUUCUACCGCAAGUACUUUUUUGUUUGCUAAAUACAAAGACAGAUCGGCUGAGCAAGUGGAAAUGUGAGUAUGUAUUUUAUUUUUAAAAACUUUUAAAGACAUUUGAAUAAUUUUCACAGGAAAAUUUUAUGCAAAUCGGAAAUAAGAUGUUUUGUGUGGAAAAAGGAGGUGCAAAUAUGCAAUAAAUAACAAUAAAAACCUGGAAAUGUAAGGAAUGUGUUUUUAAUUUGUUUUUGGGGCCCACUGUGCCUGGUUAAGGCCACAAACCGAGUGGCCCAAUAUGCAUAGAUCUUACCAGAAACACUGCGCCCUCCCCCCUACGAUCCAUUGAGUCCAAGCCGUCGGAAUACUUUGCAUCCAAAAAUGUUUGUAGAUUACUGCCAUGGCUGUGAACAGCAUGAUGCCAUCAGCCGGGCCACAAACAUUGACCGCGACUUGGACUCCAACUUCAACUUCAAGCUCUAGCUCUAGCUCUGAAGUCGAGGCUUGAACUGUGACUGGGAAUGGGAAUCGGGGAUCGGGUGGAGUUA
Molecule: long non-coding RNA, 1071 nt
Organism: Drosophila eugracilis
Lineage: Eukaryota; Metazoa; Arthropoda; Insecta; Diptera; Drosophilidae
Exons: 2
Source: RefSeq, a predicted model, not a curated record